RNAcentral lists this non-coding RNA (785 nucleotides) under Aesa media. The record is from RNAcentral. Lineage: Eukaryota; Metazoa; Arthropoda; Insecta; Coleoptera; Cerambycidae.
AAAAAGUUUUAUUCUAGCUUAGAAAUUAGGUUGGGCUUUAUUUUACAUGUAAGUUUUAGCGUAAUUGGUAUAUUUACUUAGAUAGUAUUUAUAUAAAAUUUUGUUUGCAGUGGAGAGAUUUAAUUUACAUGUAAUUAUGGAUUUAGGAAUAGCUCUUAUAAGUAUUGGCAAAAUUUGUGCCAGCAGCCGCGGUUACACGGGUAAUACAAUUUAAUUUUUUUGGAAACAGUUAAUUUGAUAUAAAAUUUUGCGUUCGGGUUUAUUGGGUGAAAUUUUAAAUUUAGAAUGAAAAUUUAUUUUUGUUGAUGAGGCUGGGAAAUUCUAUGUUUAAACUAGGAUUAGAUACCCUAUUAUUUUGAAUGUAAAUUUAUUUUUCCUGAUUAGUAUUAGUUAUAUGCUUGAAAAUUAAAGAUUUUGGCGGUAUUUUAGUCCCUUCAGAGGAACCUGUCCUAUAAUCGAUGGUCCACGAUUAAUUUCACCUUUUUUAUUAGUUUAUAUAUCGUCGUAGGUUGAAUACUUUAUUAGAUUUUAAAUAUUCAUAAUUUUUUUACAGAAAGGAAAUCAGAUCAAGGUGUAGCUUACAAAAAGGCAGAGAUGGGUUACAAUAAAUUUAUUUUAGGAUUAAUUUCUUAAUAGGAAUUAUGAAUACGGAUUUGAAAGUAAUUUUAAUUUUAUAAUUAGGAUGAUUUAGGCUCUAAAGUAUGCACAUAUCGCCCGUCGCUUUCAUUUCAAGGUGAAAUAAGUCGUAACAUAGUAGGCUUACUGGAAAGUGCGCCUAGAAAGGG